GACGAAGGGGGCUAGCGUUGUUCGGAAUUACUGGGCGUAAGGCGCGUGUAGGCGGUUGUUCAAGUCAGGUGUGAAAGCCUUGAGCUCAACUCAAGAAAUGCACUUGAUACUGGAUGACUAGAGGACCGGAGAGGAUAGUGGAAUUCCCAGUGUAGUGGUGAAAUACGUAGAGAUUGGGAAGAACACCAGUGGCGAAGGCGGCUAUCUGGACGGUUUCUGACGCUAAGACGCGAAAGCGUGGGGAGCAAACAGG
RNAcentral lists this ribosomal RNA (253 nucleotides) under uncultured bacterium. RNAcentral's name for it is "partial 16S ribosomal RNA". It matches the Rfam family "Bacterial small subunit ribosomal RNA", at positions 524 to 776 of the family's 1533-position model. The record is from RNAcentral.